Molecule: ribosomal RNA, 133 nt
Filed under: uncultured bacterium
Lineage: Bacteria
Description: partial 16S ribosomal RNA
Source: RNAcentral
GAGUUAGCCGAUGCUUAUUCCUCAGGUACCGUCAAAAUUCUUCCCUUGAGAAAAGAGGUUUACAAUCCAAGAACCUUCCUCCCUCACGCGGUAUUGCUCCGUCAGGCUUUCGCCCAUUGCGGAAAAAUUCCCC